UGCCAGCAGCCGCGGUAAUACAGAGGUCUCAAGCGUUGUUCGGAAUCACUGGGCGUAAAGCGUGCGUAGGCGGUUUCGUAAGUCGUGUGUGAAAGGCGGGGGCUCAACCCCCGGACUGCACAUGAUACUGCGAGACUAGAGUAAUGGAGGGGAACCGGAAUUCUCGGUGUAGCAGUGAAAUGCGUAGAUAUCGAGAGGAACACUCGUGGCGAAGGCGGGUUCCUGGACAUUAACUGACGCUGAGCACGAAGGCCAGGGAGCGAAAGGG
Molecule: ribosomal RNA, 268 nt
Filed under: uncultured bacterium
Lineage: Bacteria
Description: partial 16S ribosomal RNA
Rfam family: Bacterial small subunit ribosomal RNA
Source: RNAcentral